AGCAGUUACGCUUCCUGUUCUCCUGCCAGGCUGGGUCCCCUGGAGGUCUUUCUCUGGACUUUGGGUCCCAAAGAAAUUCUUUCGAGGUUCUGGGUGUCCUGAACAAAGAAUUGGACAAGACAUGCAGAAAAGGAAACCCGAAUCCCUCUGCGGGCGCUGGAGGGCGCUGGAGGGCGCUGGUCCUUUGAUUUCCGGAAAGACCCACAUUCUGUUUGCAGGGGCGCGCUCCAUCCCCGUCUGCGUGCCUCCACCCCGAAGUUCUGUGGGGCGUCCUAGGUCACCGCCCGCCGCCCCCACCCUAGGCCCUUGUGGCCGGAAAAGUGAGAGCAUCCCAGGCACCGGAAAGCUGGGCCAGAAGGAGAAAGCACGAAACUAAGCUGUAAUAAUCAUAGUUCCCAAACAGACCGAAAUGUCAGUGCUAAAAUGAAAAAUUUGUUCUUCCCGCUGCUUCCUGAACCUCCUGCUGCAGUGAGGAAGGCAGGGAGCCGCUUUGCAAAGCAGGAAUCAGACCAAGAUCAAACUCUUCCUGGUCGGGUGGACCCACCUAGCGCCAGUGAGCGGGGAUUUAAAUGUAGCCUGGAUCCCACCCUAGAGUUUCAGAUUCUGCCUUAUGGGCCGGGCCUACAAAUUUAUAUUUUUAGUAAGCACCUCUGGUAUCAGUAAUGGUGCAGUCUCUAGUUGGAAAAACACUAAGAAUAUCAGAUUAAAUCAAUCCUUGCAGAUUUACCAGGAAUCUCGUGUCAAGAAGUGUUUUGCAGGUGUCUACAAGUUAUGCUACCUACAAAAGGCAGAUAUUGGCUAUUUUCACCGCUGAUACGGCCGCAAUGUAAAUCUUAACAUUACCAAACCCCUGCUCCUCUGUUACACCUUCAUUUACAUACGGUCUCUUAUUUCUUCUUCCCGAAGUUUAAUGUGUCGCUCCCUCCAUUUCCACCCUGGGAAACUGGGACUUUCAGAAGUUAAGAAACUUGGCUAGAGUUGCUCUUCUUGUAAGUGCCAGAGCACCGAUUCCGCCCAAAGACCCUCGAAGCUUUCUCAUCCUCCAUACAGUUUAUAUGAAUGGGUCAAGGAAGGCUGGGCCUUUGACCUGUUAACCUCAGCCCUGCUGAAGUGACGCAAGUUCACAGACUUCUGAUCAGGGUAGGGUGCAGAAAGUGUGCUGGGGAUUUAUUUAACCAUGAAUCCCCUGCAAACUCCGCAAGGGUCUUGGGCCAAAAUUUGGUCAAGCUUUGGAGAUUGUUGUGUAGCAAUGAGUCCUCUAUUCUUUGUACUUAG
RNAcentral lists this long non-coding RNA (1275 nucleotides) under Heterocephalus glaber (naked mole-rat). RNAcentral describes it as "lncRNA (ENSHGLG00000040997.1)". Lineage: Eukaryota; Metazoa; Chordata; Mammalia; Rodentia; Bathyergidae. The record is from RNAcentral.